UGCUUUUCUCUUUUUUUCUUUUCUUUUUUUGUGAAAAAGAAAAAUAAAAAUAAAUCUGGUGGCCGGUCCGGUGAGGGGAAAUCGCCGACUAGGGUUCCGGCGAGGGCACCGGGAGCGGCGCGACGGCGGAACAGCAACAGGAGCUUCGGGGAUCGGCGCGGGCUGGCGUCGCGGGUCGGCUAGGGCUGGAGGCAGGGCGGAGUCGUCGGAGCUCCGACGCGGGGUACCGGCGAGGGGCGUCGCGGUUGGAGGACCUCAGGUGCGGGCUGCAGUGGCGUCGAUGCUCGGGCAGAGGGCAAGAGUGGCGACGGCCGGCUUGCGGUUGAGAGCUACUGUGGCGUCGUCGUCGCGAGUUGCUGCAGGCCGAGGAGGCGCAGCGACUGGCGUGGGCUGGCGUCGCGGGUUGUUGCAACGGGCAGAUCUGGAGCAGCGGCAGCCAACGCGGGGGUAGCAGAUGGAGGCGCGGCAGAGCCUUCGGGCGCUGGGUUGGGCAGAUCGUGGUCAGAGUAGGGGCGGUCGUCGCUCGGAGAGAAAGGAU
RNAcentral lists this long non-coding RNA (538 nucleotides) under Eucalyptus grandis. Its description in RNAcentral is "long non-coding RNA (EGRA_LNC000109)". Lineage: Eukaryota; Viridiplantae; Streptophyta; Magnoliopsida; Myrtales; Myrtaceae. The record is from RNAcentral.